This 1041-nucleotide long non-coding RNA is filed under the name Pan troglodytes (chimpanzee). Its description in RNAcentral is "long non-coding RNA NONPTRT009920". The record is from RNAcentral. Lineage: Eukaryota; Metazoa; Chordata; Mammalia; Primates; Hominidae.
AAAAUGCAAUUUGCCAAUUAUUCGAUGAGUGGCAGGUCUUAGGAAGAACUUGCCUGGUACACAAUUUGCACCAGGAAGUGGAGGCUGCAUUAAGGACAAGGGCUGGAGGCCAUCUCUCCAACCGGAGGACCAAAGCUGAGAGGAGAGGAAGCAUCAGGUGGGGCUCAGAAACUGAACCCUGCCCUUCAUCAGAAAAUACGAGAUCAAGAUUCAAGUCCAGACUGAAGGACGACUUACUGACAAGAGCAGAAACUGUCUUGUGAAGAACAGGAGGGAAUUCACCUUUGAGGUCUCUGGUUCUUGAAUGACCUUACUUUAAGAGUCCUCGUACAGGAGACAGAGACACCUUUUACGAAGGUGACUUGUCCUCACAAAAGGAAAGCUUUUGCCCUGUUUUUAGAGUUUUCCCUGCAUCUGCUCAUUCUCAAUGUCCUUCAGCUCAAAAUCAUCUUUAUGCCAAAUGGGCCUAUUUUGGGGUGGCAAGUUCUGGUACUUUUGCUUGACAACACCUCUUCCGUAGACUGUUUUCCAUCUGCUUUGCUUCCAGUUAUCAAUGUGUUCUGUCACUCCUGAGAGACUAAAAUCUAGCACUUUGUAGGAUAAAAUGACUGCGAGUUCCUGUUAAAUUAAGUUCAGCCUAGAGCUUCCUUUCUCUGUACGCUGUAACCCACUCUUACGCCAGUCACCAAGUUUUGGCUCAUCAGAGGAGGCCAGCUGCUCAAACCUUGUUCAAAUAAGGCAAAUGCCGAGCCGCAACCAGUCCGGCUGUUAUCUCCAUUUUCUGUCUGUCACUUUCCUUUUGGUGUCCCUAAAUCUUCCACUUUAUGGCUGAGUGCUGGAGUCUCUGAGCCUUCUCUAGCUCAGGAGGCUGCCUGACUCACCAAUCAUCCAUUGCUCAAUUAAACUCUGUUAAGUUUAAUUUGGCUAAGGUUUUCCUUUUAACAAUGCAUUUAACUGUCCUUUCAGCUUUCCAAAGUUUACUCUUUUAACAAAUAUCGAGUGCCUUUUCUAAAGUGAAAACUCUGCUGUCUCUGUAUAAUU